Molecule: transfer RNA, 80 nt
Organism: Ipomoea nil (Japanese morning glory)
Lineage: Eukaryota; Viridiplantae; Streptophyta; Magnoliopsida; Solanales; Convolvulaceae
Rfam family: tRNA
About the family: Transfer RNA (tRNA) molecules are approximately 80 nucleotides in length.
Source: Rfam
GAUGGUUUGGCUGAGUGGUCUAAGGCGCCAGAUUUUGGCUCUGGUCUGAAAGGGCGUGGGUUCAAAUCCCACAGCCGUCA